Ailuropoda melanoleuca (giant panda) is the source of this 47-nucleotide non-coding RNA. Lineage: Eukaryota; Metazoa; Chordata; Mammalia; Carnivora; Ursidae. The record is from Rfam.
GCCAUGGUGCUUCUCAGCACCACCUCACUCAUUAAAGCCAGUCCUAG